This 135-nucleotide ribosomal RNA is filed under the name Neogale vison (American mink). The record is from RNAcentral. Lineage: Eukaryota; Metazoa; Chordata; Mammalia; Carnivora; Mustelidae.
GUCUACGGUCAUACCACCCUAAAUGCCCCUGAUCUCAUCUGAUCUCGGAAGCUAAGCAGGUCAGGCCUGGUUAGUACUUGGAUGGGAGAAGUUGAAAGACUUCCUAAACAGGAAUCCAGUAGGAAAUUGUGGGAU